GAUCCUGGCUCAGGAUGAACGCUAGCUACAGGCUUAACACAUGCAAGUCGAGGGGCAGCAUGGUCUUAGCUUGCUAAGACUGAUGGCGACCGGCGCACGGGUGAGUAACACGUAUCCAACCUGCCGUCUACUCUUGGACAGCCUUCUGAAGGAAGAUAAUACAAGAAUGGCAUCAUGAGUCCGCAUGUUCACAUGAUUAAAGGUAAUUCCGGUAGACGAUGGG
RNAcentral lists this ribosomal RNA (223 nucleotides) under uncultured bacterium. Its description in RNAcentral is "partial 16S ribosomal RNA". It matches the Rfam family "Bacterial small subunit ribosomal RNA", at positions 15 to 229 of the family's 1533-position model. The record is from RNAcentral.